This 419-nucleotide ribosomal RNA is filed under the name uncultured Prochlorococcus sp. RNAcentral's name for it is "bacterial SSU rRNA". It matches the Rfam family "Bacterial small subunit ribosomal RNA", at positions 30 to 496 of the family's 1533-position model. The record is from RNAcentral. Lineage: Bacteria; Bacillati; Cyanobacteriota; Cyanophyceae; Synechococcales; Prochlorococcaceae.
UGAACGCUGGCGGCGUGCUUAACACAUGCAAGUCGAACGAACCUUCGGGUUAGUGGCGGACGGGUGAGUAACGCGUGAGAAUCUGCCCUCAGGAGGGGGAUAACGGUUGGAAACGACCGCUAAUACCCCAUAUGCCUACUGGUGAAAUGAAUUUCGCCUGAGGAUGAGCUCGCGUCUGAUUAGCUAGUUGGUGAGGUAAUGGCUCACCAAGGCUUCGAUCAGUAGCUGGUCUGAGAGGAUGAUCAGCCACACUGGGACUGAGACACGGCCCAGACUCCUACGGGAGGCAGCAGUGGGGAAUUUUCCGCAAUGGGCGAAAGCCUGACGGAGCAACGCCGCGUGAGGGACGAAGGCCUCUGGGCUGUAAACCUCUUUUCUCAAGGAAGAAGAUAUGACGGUACUUGAGGAAUAAGCCACGG